UGACAUGAAUUCUGAAUUGGCAACAUGAAUUUUUCCGUGAUAUUGGACAGGGUACAUUUGAAGCAAAAUUUUAUCAUUACCUUUCCCAAUUGUCAAUGUACCACGGCCUCAAUCAUUUCGAGCUUUAACUUGAUACAACCACGAUCGCCCCAAUAAAAUUGAGUAUGACAAUUUAGAGCUUUACAAUCAAAAAAUAAUAUAAUCGAUUUUAUAGAUAAUCCCUGCAAUUACUGUAUCAAUACUUCAUAAAAUAUCCAUAGGUUUAACUCGACUGGAGUCAAUCAUUCUCAAAACC
This 295-nucleotide long non-coding RNA is filed under the name Physcomitrium patens. RNAcentral's name for it is "long non-coding RNA (PPAT_LNC006795)". Lineage: Eukaryota; Viridiplantae; Streptophyta; Bryopsida; Funariales; Funariaceae. The record is from RNAcentral.